RNAcentral lists this long non-coding RNA (7182 nucleotides) under Homo sapiens (human). Its description in RNAcentral is "HSALNT0015185". The record is from RNAcentral. Lineage: Eukaryota; Metazoa; Chordata; Mammalia; Primates; Hominidae.
GAGCUCGCUUUUUCUGGGGACAGAGAGUGAGGCCUGGACACCCGGCGCCGGCCCAGGCCUGGCCGCGGGGAGCCGAAGGGCGACGAGUCCGGCGACGAGGCCGUGUCGCUGUCGGGGGCCCGGCAGAGGCGCAGGUCCGGGGCGGAGACGUGCAGCCGGGACUGCGCCGCGGGGAGUCCCCCGGCCGGGGCAGGUGGCGGCCCGUGGAACAGGGAUUCCCGCCGGCGCGUGUGCGGGCUCUCGGGCAGGAAGGCCCAGCCUUCGCGGCCCGCCAGGCUAGUCAAGUGAAGCAAUGGGAGUGGAGAUGGAACAAAGAAAUCUGCAAUUGGUUGUGAUCAAUUAGUUGUAAACACUACUGCACUUGGACCAACCUCUUCCUUUUCCUGACUGCUUAGGAAGGAUGGAAUGUAUUUCCUUCCUUCUGGGAGUGUUUGAAUGAAGAUUAGACUCUCCUUGACCAUGAAUGAAGAGCAACCAGUUUUUUAGUAUACAGUGAUUUAGACUCUGGGUCUAGAGUGUAGAUAUCAUGGGCACUGUGAAAGCACAGAAGGAGAAAAGGUUUUUAUUGGAGAAAUAUGGCAGACACCAUAGUAACCAACUGAUCAAAGGGAACAUUGGCAUUAAUGGGACAAAUCAGCAUCACGUUUCUCUUGUCAUGAAGCACUGAGAAGGCCACAGCAUUGCUUCUGAAAUAUUGCAACAAAAAUGAAUAACUUGAAUCUAAUGAUGAGGAAACAUUGGAGAAAUCCAAACCUUGGAACACGCUACAAAACAACUAACUCGUACUCUGAGAAACAUAUCAGUGGACUGGAUUCCAAACAGUGGCUCAUGCCUGUAAUUUUAACACUUUGGGAGGCCAAGUUUGGUGGGGCUUUGUGUCUGAAUUCUGGCCAAUGGAACCACGUGGAGGCCUGGCCCAGAACAUCUCCCUGUGGAUUCUCUCAUCUGGCAACUGGAUGCCUACACGAAGGGUGAUUUUGGAGUCAUGUGUUGGAGAUCACAAAGCUUUUGUCAGCCAGGUUCCUGAAUGACUGCUAGACACCAUGGGCUGAACUUUAUGAGCUCCAGCACCACCUCCAGCCUUCAGUGACUGUCUGGAGCAGGCAUCCGGAUGGAAGAGAAGGGGGACAACCAUGAACUUGGUGACCCACGGUCAGCCUGAUUUCCCUUGUGGACACAUUUAUGCCCAGUGUGCAUUCCUCCUGAGGUCUGUUCCAAGUCUGGAGGCAGCAGAGUAGAGUGGAGAGAACAGUGGACUUGGAAUCUCACCUCCCAGAUUAGAGUCCUGGAUCUGACUUUGAUUGCUGGUGCUGCCUCGGGCAAGUUACUUUAGCUGUGUGCAUCUCCAUUUCCCCAUGGAUAGAACAUGGGUUUUGGGUAGAAGUGUCUGAUAGCUGUACUGUGCUUUACGGUUCAUGAGCACGCACACAUAGGCCCAUAAUAUCAUAUCUCUGGUCACCCUGGCAGGUAGAUAUUAUUGCCCCAGGUUUCAGGUAAGAAGACUAAAGACCAGGGGUCAAUUGCUUGCUCAGAGUCCCACAGCCAGCAGCAGCCAGGCAGGACACCAAGUCAGAGUCUAGAUUCCGGAUCUUGCCCUCUUCCAAGUGUACCACAUUCUUCUCAAAGUGGCCUCUCAGGUCUUUUGUCCAGAAAAUUUUGAGACUUUGAUGAGAAGCCCAUAUCUGCACACUGGGGAUUAGGCCAGAUAACCCUGUGUGUCCUUCCAGGCCUGGUAUUGUGAGGCUGAAGCCUAGUGCCCCACACUCCCUUCCUCACCCCUUAGAGAAAGAUAGAGACUCCAGGGCCAGCCUGGUGGGUGCUGAACCUGCCCUGCUGAGCCAAGCCCAGGAGGCAGCCAAGGUCCUACCAGUGACCUUACCCUGGGGGCCCCUCCAGGUAGGAGCCUGGUUGGAAAAGACAGACCGACUUCUUCUGGGUUGGCUGGAAAAAGAUGACAUACUCAAAGCCUUGUCCUUCCACUUGGAUGCACCUGGUGAAGAUGCGACAGUCACCUUUGUCUGGGGAGAGAUAGGCAGUGUUGCAGCCGGAGAAGGGAGGGUAUGGUCAGGAUGCAGCACCAUUUGGUUGAGUCUUGCCUCUGGUACAAGAUUAAGGAGAGAAAACCAGAGGACACCAGGUCCACCCCCAGGGAGCCUUCCCUCUGGGAGCAGAGGCACAGUUGCUGUCCUCACAGAGCCUUUCUGUCUAGGGCAGAAACAUGCAGGAAGUGCCCUGGCUGAGAAUGGAGAUAGGAUCAGGGCCAGGGCAAGACUUUAAGAGACCAUAAGCAUUGAAAAUUGAAAAUGUAAUUACUCAUGUAACUCACAUAUAAUUCAAAAGAAUAAUAGUAAACAGUAAAAUAAGAGCAGAAAAGUCCAUCAAAGUUCUGAUUUUUUUUUUCCAAGACAGCUACCACUACUACAUCCUUUUUUGGAAGUAUCAAAUUCUUUGAAAAAAAAUUAUGUUGGUAUUCCUGCUUUGUUUGUGCCAUAAACCCAAGGGUAGUCUGUCCCCUGUACCACUCCUUCAUCACUAGGCAGGAAGACAACAUAUAUGAGUGAGAGAGACAGGGAGAUACACAUGCGUGCACACACGAGUGCACACACACACACAAGAAGGUGGAAGCUCUAUCAUUAGGAUCCAUUAGGAUCAUUAGGUGUUUCAGGAGUGCUGCUCCAGACCCCGCACAGCAGGGAUGAUGUGCAGGGCCUCAGUGGAAGGGGUGUGGGGUCCAAGGGCUUUCAUGGGGUUGGGGCGGAAGGCUUGGGAUGAGGCUUGAUAGUUAGGGAGGGGCAGUCAGUGAGAAGUCGGGGCAGGAGCUGGGCUGGCUGUCCUCCAGUGGGGACAUGCUUGGCUGGGAGCGAAGGUGGGCCCACCAGGGUGUGCUGCUUCAGAUGGGAGGAGGGGAGCUGGAGACCUGAGAGGACACCCGCCGCCUGUUGCCUGGGGCUGCAGCAUCAGGGGUGGAGUUGGACAGCAGGAAGAACUCGCUGAGAACUGGAAGGCGGUCUGUGAAGUUGCUUCUCAGUCUUAGAACACAGGGAAGGGCGGCUGGGGUGUGUGUACUCAUGGUCCUGUCCUUACCUGAGGAAACUGCCAGUCCAGAUGGGAGCUUGAGUCCCCGGAUGUGGUCUCUGUUGGACUUGAAGGAGGGCAGCUUGAUCCAGCCGCUAGACUUAGUCUUCUCCAGAAAUUCUUGGUACAGGCUCAGCAUGUCCGAACACCAGCUGGCAUUGGGAAGAGCAUAAUCCUUCAAGUCUGUCUUCUCUGGCAAGAAUCUUGAGAACUGGGCAGGAAAAAUCAGAAUGACUAGACAGCAUCCUGGAGGGGGGCUGCUGCCUGGGCUCGGGACCUCUAAACAGCUGUUCCUGGGUGCUGGGGCUUCUCAAUCCCUUCUGCCAGAGUAUCGAUCCAAGGGAAAGGGCCCAUAUUCCUUGCAGGGGGGCUGCGGACCCCUAUGGGUGACGGGGCAUAAGGAUGCUAAAGAGCAAGGGAAGGGCGGGCAGGGAGUGGGGCCAGAGAUGAUGGGCAUGCUGCUCGAUGUGGUGCCUUACCCUUGUUCUGCUUAAAACAUGUGAGCAGUUCUUUAAAGUUGACAACUGCUCAUAUUAGCCUCACUGUACAGAUGGGGAAACUGAGGGAAUACGGCCAAGGUUGCCAAGCAUGUGACUGUGAGAGCUGGUGGUCGCACUAGAUGCUGUCUCCUCUGCAGGGCAGGGUCACAGUUGUUGAGGACCAUUCUAGCAACCCCCACCUCAGGGGCUACUCCAGCUCUGCCCACUGCUGUGGGCCUGCCUGGGCAGGGUGGCUCCUUUGAAACACAUUUGGGCCCCCACAGAGGUGUGGUGCCAUGGCUGGGGCACAGACUAUGUGCCCAUCUGUGUGACGUAAGGAAGUCCUCUGUAGCGUCACCUGCUCAUACACCAGUCACAACUGUAGACAGCAUGUGAGCUGCUUGCCAAUGCCACAGAUGGGGUCCUCUGUCUGGGGAUACCCCAGCUUUGCUGCAGUAGUCUGAGUCCCACAGGAGGAAAGUCAUUUGUUGGUGGCCACACAAGACACAGAGCCAGAUGCAGGUCUCCUGGUAGUUUUAGUUUUGAAUGGGGGCAACUUGGUAUCCCAGAGCACUUUCUCUUUGCCAAAUCAAAUAGCUCCUCCGAACACUGCCCACCUGCCCUGGCCAUGGGCUGGGAAGAGGAGAUUUGGGGUGCUCCUUAAGCCCUAGGCUCCUGGGAAAACACUGCCCAUCUGGCUGAGCUGGGAACUCACCAUGGAGUCUGUGGAGGAUCCAAAUGCUGAGGCAGGGUUGAGUCUGGGCAGGAUACGGGGGGCCUCAAGAAGGCCUCUGUGGUGGCCAAGUCUUGCUGCCACCUGGAAGCAUCUCCUUAUCAUGGCCAAGUGCAAGGAUCCAGCCCUGCUUGGAUGGAGGGUCUUGGCUGACUCCCAAGGAGUGCUUUCAGCUGCACUUGGGGCCGCUUCUCUCCCUUCUGUUGCAGGCUUUCUUUCAGAGAGCUAGGCGAGGCUGGGCUGGUGUGCUGCAACACCCACAGAUGCUCGGCGCCUUUAGCUGGUCUAGGAGCCCCACCCAGUGCUUGGGGAGGGACAGAUGCUGCUUGGGCAUGAAAAGGCAGCAGGACUGGCUUGAGUUGCAAAAGGAGUAAACAAGUACAUAAACAAAUAGUAUGGGGUAUAUAGAGCCUUGGAGAGCUGCCUGGGGGUUCUGAGGGAGAAUCCAAGAAUAUUUCCAGAAGGAUAAGGGAAGCCUGUCCCUUGAUUGGAGGGUGCUGGUGGAGUGUUCUUGGUAUGUGCUCUGCAGUGUAUACCGGACUCUGAAAACUCUGGUAUGAUUUUGUGACUCAGAAAACCAACUCACAGGCCGGGUGCGGUGGCUCACGCCUGUAAUCCCAGCACUUUGGGAGGCCGAGGCGGCGGAUUACGAGGUUAGGAGAUCGAGACCAUCCUGGCUAACACGGUGAAACCCCGUCUCUACUAAAAAAAAUACAAAAAAUUAGCCGGGCGUGGUGGCGGGUGCCGGUAGUCCCAGCUACGCAGGGGGCUGAGGCAGGAGAAUGGCGUGAACCUGGGAGGUGGAGCUUGCAGUGAGCUGAGAUCUAGCCACCGCACUCCAGCCUGGGCGACUGAGCGAGACUCCGUCUCAAAAAAAUAAAAAUAAAAAAAUAAAAAAAAAGAAAACCAACUCACAGCCUUAGACACCUCUUUUUUUUUUUUUUUUUUUUUUUUGGUGAGACGGAGUUUCAAUCUUGUCGCCCAGGCUGGUGUGCAAUGGCGUGAUCUCGGCUCACUGCAACCUCCGCCUCCUGGGUUCAAGUGAUUCUCCUGCCUCAGCCUCCUGAGUAGCUGGGAUUACAGACACACACCACCACACCCAGCUAAAUUUUGUAUAUUUUUUUUAGUAGAGAUGGGGUUUUGCCAUGUUAGCCAGGCUGGUCUUGAACUCCUGACCUCAGGUGACCUCCCAAAGUGCUGGGAUUACAGGCGUGAGCCACCGCACCCGGCCAACACCUCUUCUUAUAUCCCGGACAAGGGUUAGCACAGGAGAGUUUCACCUGCUGGUCUCUGGCUGGGGAUAGGAGUUGGAGGUGGGGGAGGGCUUGACAGGGAGGGCAGAAAAUAAUUUGGGAGGAAACAGCUUGGCAGGGAUACUCUCAUGUUUUGGGAACCCCGUGCCCAGGGAGUGGCUCAUGUCAGCAGGCAGUGCUGGGAGUGAGGUGGGCGCGGCAGUGAGGCUUUGUUGAGUGGGAAGGGACACUCAGCCAACAUCUGCAAGGCAGUGGGAUUUGGUGGUGGUGUGUCUUCUAUUGAAUUUAAACUGCCAAUUUUCAAUUAAAAGUCUCAGUUUUAAAUUGACUAAAAUAAAAGCAUGUUCUAAAGAUCAGUCCUCGCGCAGUGGCUCAAGGCUGUAAUCUCAGCAUUUUGGGAGGCCGAGUGAGACCUUGUCUUAAAAAAAAAAAAAUCAGAACUGUGCAAAGGUGGAAUCAUAACAGUGAUGAUGACGAUAAUAAUAGUUGUGAUGAUUAUGACAUUUUGGCAGGUUCCAAAAGAUGAAACUGAUUUAAUGCGGAAAUUUAAAAGAUUUGGUUCACCCUCUGUAUUUGGUUGCCCUAGAAGAAGACUAGAAUAUAAAUAUUUCCCCUCACCUCCUGCAAAGGUUUGAAUUAAACUUCCUCAAGGACUGGGGGAACCAUUUUUUUUUGUUGUUGUUAUUUUGUCAGAGUCUCACUCUUAUUGCCCAGGAGUGCAGUGGCACCAUCUCGGCUCACUGCAACCUCUGCCUCCCAGGCUCAAGCAAUUCUCCUGCCUCAGCCUCCCAAGUAGCUGGGAUUACAGGCGCUUGCUACUACGCCCGGCUAGUUUUUAUAUUUUUAGUAGAGACGGGGUUUCAUCAUGUUGGCCAGGCUGGUCUCAAACUCCUGGCCUUGGCUGAUCUGCCUGCCUCAGCGUCCCAAAGUGCUGGGAUUACAGGCAUGAGGCACCACGCCCAGCUGGAAGUUUUUUUGGUUGAUUCAGCCUCUGGGUCUAAGCAAAGAUAUUUGAGUUGGUUGCCAUCCCCAGAUAAGUGAGAAUAUCUGGCAGCACUCAUUUUCAGCCCUGGGCCGCAGCCGUUGCUGUGAGGCAGAAAUUAAAAAAAGAUAGUAAGUACUACAUUCAUUCACUCCAAGAAAAGUAACAGACAAGGCUAUAAGAAGGUCAUAGUGACCUAGUCUGAGAAGUAAAAGCCAAGGCCCAGAAUGUGGCAAGGCAAAGGUUAAAAAGAAAGGAAGAGCAAGUUUUUCUCUGCCUAGCAAGCUCACUUCAAAGACAAUUAUAAGAUAAUGCUCUUCGAGAAGUCGAAACCAAAGGAAUAGGCUCCAGACAUCCCCCGUCUGGAGCAAGGGUGAAGGAAAAAAAAAAAAGGACAAAUGUCUGUCUGUAUUUAGCCAGUUCUUGUUUUUUCUUUCCACGCAGCUACAAGGCCACCAGCUAUGCAAAGCCACAAGUUAUGCCAAGUCAUCAGUUAUGCUAUAGAUUAUGUGACCUGUCAUUAUAUGAUUAACUGCCUGUUUUGCUUCUGUAAGCCUGCUUAUAAAAAUCCUGCUCAGUCUUUGUUCAAUGCUCAGCUUUUUGGAUGUGAAUCCACUGAGCCAAUGCCUACCUUAAAAUAAACAUCGUCCUGUUUUUCCA